This 460-nucleotide ribosomal RNA is filed under the name uncultured bacterium. Its description in RNAcentral is "partial 16S ribosomal RNA". It matches the Rfam family "Bacterial small subunit ribosomal RNA", at positions 338 to 795 of the family's 1533-position model. The record is from RNAcentral.
CCUACGGGUGGCAGCAGUGAGGAAUAUUGGUCAAUGGCCGGAAGGCUGAACCGGCCAUGCCGCGUGAAGGGCAGGGCCCUAUGGGCGUUAAACUUCUUUUGUGCGGGAGCAAUAAUGGUCACGUGUGGCCAGACGAGAGUACCGUACGAAUAAGCAUCGGCUAACUCCGUGCCAGCAGCCGCGGUAAUACGGGGGAUGCAAGCGUUAUCCGGAUUUAUUGGGUUUAAAGGGUGCGUAGGCUGGGUGGUAAGUCAGCGGUGAAAUGCCCCCGCUACACGGGGUGAAGUGCCAUUGAUACUUCCGUGCUGGAGUGCGGAUGCCGUGGGAGGAAGGUGUGGUGUAGCGGUGAAAUGCAUAGAUAUCACCCAGAACACCGAUUGCGAAGGCAUCUCACGAAUCCGCGAUUGACGCUGAUGCACGAAAGCGUGGGUAUCAAACAGGAUUAGAUACCCUGGUAGUC